This 460-nucleotide ribosomal RNA is filed under the name uncultured bacterium. Its description in RNAcentral is "partial 16S ribosomal RNA". It matches the Rfam family "Bacterial small subunit ribosomal RNA", at positions 338 to 795 of the family's 1533-position model. The record is from RNAcentral.
CCUACGGGGGACAGCAGUGAGGAAUAUUGGUCAAUGGACGAGAGUCUGAACCAGCCAAGUAGCGUGAAGGAUGACUGCCCUAUGGGUUGUAAACUUCUUUUAUAUGGGAAUAAAACGUUCCACGUGUGGGAUUUUGUAUGUACCAUAUGAAUAAGGAUCGGCUAACUCCGUGCCAGCAGCCGCGGUAAUACGGAGGAUCCGAGCGUUAUCCGGAUUUAUUGGGUUUAAAGGGAGCGUAGGUGGAUUGUUAAGUCAGUUGUGAAAGUUUGCGGCUCAACCGUAAAAUUGCAGUUGAAACUGGCAGUCUUGAGUACAGUAGAGGUGGGCGGAAUUCGUGGUGUAGCGGUGAAAUGCUGAGAUAUCACGAAGAACUCCGAUUGCGAAGGUAGUUCACUGGACUGCAACUGACACUGAGGCUCGAAAGUGUGGGUAUCAAACAGGAUUAGAUACCCCAGUAGUC